RNAcentral lists this ribosomal RNA (447 nucleotides) under uncultured bacterium. RNAcentral's name for it is "partial 16S ribosomal RNA". It matches the Rfam family "Bacterial small subunit ribosomal RNA", at positions 29 to 523 of the family's 1533-position model. The record is from RNAcentral.
AACGAACGCUGGCGGCAGGCUUAACACAUGCAAGUCGAGCGCCCCGCAAGGGGAGCGGCAGACGGGUGAGUAACGCGUGGGAAUCUACCGUGCCCUACGGAAUAGCUCCGGGAAACUGGAAUUAAUACCGUAUACGCCCUUUGGGGGAAAGAUUUAUCGGGGUAUGAUGAGCCCGCGUUGGAUUAGCUAGUUGGUGGGGUAAAGGCCUACCAAGGCGACGAUCCAUAGCUGGUCUGAGAGGAUGAUCAGCCACAUUGGGACUGAGACACGGCCCAAACUCCUACGGGAGGCAGCGGUGGGGAAUAUUGGACAAUGGGCGCAAGCCUGAUCCAGCCAUGCCGCGUGAGUGAUGAGGGCCCUAGGGUUGUAAAGCUCUUUCACCGGUGAAGAUAAUGACGGUAACCGGGGAAGAAGCCCCGGCUAACUUCGUGCCAGCAGCCGCCGUAA